AAGGAUCAAUUCCCAACUCAGUUGGUAACAUGCUAAGCUUGCAAUACUUGGACUUAUCCCAUAAUGAUCUAUCCGGUGUGAUCCCAAAGUUCAUGGAAGCACUUUCUUAUCUCAGCUACAUCAACCUUUCUUUUAACAAUUUGAGCGGUGAAAUUCCAUCUGGUGGUCCCUUCAAGAACUUCACAAGUCAAUCAUUCAUGUCUAAUGCUGCACUCUGUGGUGCUCCAAGGUUUCUUGUCCCUCUUUGUAGCCCCCUACCUCUUCACAGAUCAACUAAAAAGAAAGUACUGCAAGUGAUAUAUCUAGUGUUAGGUAUAGCUGUAGCAAUUAUAUCCCUAAGAUAUCGAAGGAAGAAUAAUGUUCCAACAGCAGUAAGUUGGAAGCCUCUGGGAAAAGCAGAAAGGUUCUCAUAUUAUGAACUUUUACGAGCAACAAAUGGCUACAAUGAGAGUAAUUUACCUGGCACAGGGAGUUUUGGAUCAGUCUAUAGAGGUACCCAAAUAGAUGGGACUCAGGUGGCAGUGAAAGUUUUCAAAUUGCAAUUAGAAGGAACACACGAUAGUUUUGUUUCAGAAUGUGAGGUACUACGCAAUCUUCGCCAUCGAAAUCUCACCAAAGUGAUUGGCAGUUGUACUAACCAUGGCUUCAAAGCCUUGGUGUAUGAGUAUAUGCCUAACGGGAGUCUUGAGAAAUGGUUGUACUCUCACAAUCAUUAUUUAAAUUUAAUAGAAAGAAUGAGCAUAAUGAUAGAUGUUUCUAAUGCAUUGGAGUAUCUCCACCAUGGUUAGACGACACCAGUGGUUCACUGUGAUAUCAAGCCUAGUAACAUCUUGCUCGAUGAAGGUAUGGUUGCUCAUGUCAGUGACUUUGGUCUUUCAAAACUUUUGAGUCAAGAAGACAGUAAUUUGCACACCAAGACCCUUGCAACUCUAGGUUAUAUUGCACCAGAAUAUGGAGCAGGAGGUUUGGUAUCAACAAGAAGUGAUGUAUAUAGUUUUGGAAUUGUUUUGAUCGAAACUUUUUCAAGAAUGAAGCCUAGUGAUCAAAUAUUUGUUGGCGAUCUAAGCCUAAAGAGUUGGAUAGAAGAUUCACUUCACACUAGGACAACACAGACUAUAGAUGCCAACCUACUCUCGCCAGAAGAUGAGUAUCUUUCAGAGAAGUUGGGGAGCAUUUAUCUGACCCUGGAAUUAGCUUUGAGCUGCUGCAACGAACGUCCAAGAGAUAGGACCAGCAUGAAUCAUGUUGUAGUGUCACUUGAGAAGAUCAAGCAUCAAUUAGUCAGUGUCUGCGGUGACCAAAUGUGAAAU
Molecule: non-coding RNA, 1310 nt
Organism: Coffea arabica (coffee)
Lineage: Eukaryota; Viridiplantae; Streptophyta; Magnoliopsida; Gentianales; Rubiaceae
Source: RefSeq, a predicted model, not a curated record